This 877-nucleotide ribosomal RNA is filed under the name uncultured bacterium. RNAcentral describes it as "bacterial SSU rRNA". It matches the Rfam family "Bacterial small subunit ribosomal RNA", at positions 12 to 890 of the family's 1533-position model. The record is from RNAcentral.
UUUGAUCCUGGCUCAGGACGAACGCUGGCGGCCCGCCUAACACAUGCAAGUCGAACGAGAGAUGAGGAGCUUGCUCUUCAAAUCGAGUGGCGAACGGGUGAGUAACGCGUGAGGAACCUGCCUCAAAGAGGGGGACAACAGUUGGAAACGACUGCUAAUACCGCAUAAGCCCACGGCUCGGCAUCGAGCAGAGGGAAAAGGAGCAAUCCGCUUUGAGAUGGCCUCGCGUCCGAUUAGCUAGUUGGUGAGGUAAUGGCCCACCAAGGCGACGAUCGGUAGCCGGACUGAGAGGUUGAACGGCCACAUUGGGACUGAGACACGGCCCAGACUCCUACGGGAGGCAGCAGUGGGGAAUAUUGCACAAUGGGGGAAACCCUGAUGCAGCGACGCCGCGUGGAGGAAAGAAUGUUCUUCGGAUUUGUAAACCCUUGUUGGUUGAGGAAAGAUAAUGACGGUACCUCCAACAAGAAAAGUGACGGCUAACUACGUGCCAGCAGCCGCGGAUAAAAACGUAGGUCACCAAGCGUUGUCCGGAAUUACGGGGUGUAAAGGGGAGCGCAGGCGGGAGAACAAGUUGGAAGUGAAAUCCAUGGGCUCAACCCAUGAACUGCUUUCAAAACUGUUUUUCUUGAGUAGUGCAGAGGUAGGCGGAAUUCCCGGUGUAGCGGUGGAAUGCGUAGAUAUCGGGAGGAACACCAGUGGCGAAGGCGGCCUACUGGGCACCAACUGACGCUGAGGCUCGAAAGUGUGGGUAGCAAACAGGAUUAGAUACCCUGGUAGUCCACACCGUAAACGAUGAUUACUAGGUGUUGGAGGAUUGACCCCUUCAGUGCCGCAGUUAACACGAUAAGUAAUCCACCUGGGGAGUACGACCGCA